AAAAAACAGAGUGAGAGUGAAUGAGUGUGGAAAGACGUCGCCAGAAGAGAGCGACGGAGGGGGAGUGGAGGCAGAGAAAGGGGAGAGACUUACUGCCAGUGCAAAAGACUAAGGAGAGAGAGCAUAGUAGAGGAGGUACACAGACUCUCUCAGAAGACGAGAGCAGCACAAAGAAGCAGACAGUGAACACAGACUUUUAAAGAGAGAAACUGCUGGAAACUGCCAUACUGACAACUGACAACCCAGUGAACUAAAGAUACAGAACCUUUAAAAGGACAAAAUAAAAUCUUUCAGUCUGGAAAACUGGAAUAAGCUAAUUAGAUGAGGUGGAACAGCGUAGAGGAGACCACACAAAGUAUAGGAAUAAGAAGAGGGGGAUGGUGAAAGAGAGAGUUUUUAAUGGACAUUUGAGAAACUUUGAGAGAAGUGGAUAAACUCUGUACUGAAGUUGGAGAGAAUGACACAUUGCCAAACUAAUUCACCUCCAAAGGUGCAGUGCCAUAAGUUCAAAACAUUACCCCAAAGCUAUUUGGAUCCAUCCCCAGUCUCCCUCUGUGUGUGACUUGACCAGGGGAAUCCAAGAUGGAGGUGAGGGAGGAGGUGUUGGACAUCCUAAAUAAGGUGUGGACUAAACUACAGAACCUCCCGCAGGCCAACUCGCUGGAGCUGGGGGCCUUCUUCAUAAUCAUCCUCUUCGUCGCCACUUUCCUGUUUAUGAUUGUUCUAUCCUGCGUUCACUGCUGUUGCUGUGGAAAGCCUAAAUACCAGGGUUCCCGGGUCCAGCCCUUACAGGCUGUCUGAGGAGGAGCGGACAGUGGCCCAGUUGCAAUACUUAUAAAAUGCACCCUUCCCUCCCUUCAAGGAAGGGAGGAAAGAGCGAUUCAAGGGAGGAAGCAAGGAAGGAGGGAUGCUCUCUAAAGUAUUGGUAUUGCCUGAACAAUGUAGUUUGGAGGGGACAGACAGACUGCUAUACAACCAUCCUGAAGAAUCCAUGUGUGUAUAAAGGCUGAUGAGCAAUGGCAGAAGUCAUUAAGACUACUCAGCAGUAGUUGUAAACAGGACAAUGAUGCACUAG
This is a long non-coding RNA of Salvelinus sp. IW2-2015, 1075 nucleotides long. RefSeq lists it as uncharacterized. The record is from RefSeq and is a predicted model, not a curated record. Lineage: Eukaryota; Metazoa; Chordata; Actinopteri; Salmoniformes; Salmonidae.